RNAcentral lists this ribosomal RNA (495 nucleotides) under uncultured bacterium. RNAcentral's name for it is "partial 16S ribosomal RNA". It matches the Rfam family "Bacterial small subunit ribosomal RNA", at positions 28 to 507 of the family's 1533-position model. The record is from RNAcentral.
GACGAACGCUGGCGGCGUGCCUAAUACAUGCAAGUAGAACGCUGAAGGAGGAGCUUGCUCUUCUGGAUGAGUUGCGAACGGGUGAGUAACGCGUAGGUAACCUGCCUGGUAGCGGGGGAUAACUAUUGGAAACGAUAGCUAAUACCGCAUAAGAGUAGAUGUUGCAUGACAUUUACUUAAAAGGUGCAAUUGCAUCACUACCAGAUGGACCUGCGUUGUAUUAGCUAGUUGGUGGGGUAACGGCUUACCAAGGCGACGAUACAUAGCCGACCUGAGAGGGUGAUCGGCCACACUGGGACUGAGACACGGCCCAGACUCCUACGGGAGGCAGCAGUAGGGAAUCUUCGGCAAUGGACGGAAGUCUGACCGAGCAACGCCGCGUGAGUGAAGAAGGUUUUCGGAUCGUAAAGCUCUGUUGUAAGAGAAGAACGAGUGUGAGAGUGGAAAGUUCACACUGUGACGGUAUCUGACCAGAAAGGGACGGCUAACUACGUG